RNAcentral lists this ribosomal RNA (1160 nucleotides) under uncultured bacterium. RNAcentral's name for it is "bacterial SSU rRNA". It matches the Rfam family "Bacterial small subunit ribosomal RNA", at positions 316 to 1478 of the family's 1533-position model. The record is from RNAcentral.
GAAAUGAGACCCCUGGCCGGACUCUACGGGAGCAGCAGUAGGCACUUUGACAAUGGGGCAAGCCUGAUCCAGCCAUGCGCGCGUGUGCGAUGAAGACCUCCGGGUUAUAAAAGCAUUUCUAGCAGGAAAGAAACGUUCCGGGUUAAUAACCCGGGAAACUGACGGUACCUGCAGAAUAAGCACCGUCUAACUACGUGACAGCAGCCGCGGUAAUAUGUAGGGUGCAAGCGUUAAUCGGAAUUGCUGGGCGUAAAGCGUGCGCAGGCGGUUCGGAAAGAAAGAUGUGAGAUCCCAGAGCUUAACUUUGGAACUGCAUUUUUAACUACCGAGCUAGAGUGUGUCAGAGGGAGGUGGAGUUCCGCGUGUAGCAGUGAAAUGCGUAGAUAUGCGGAGGAACACCGAUGGCGAAGGCAGCCUCCUGGGAUAACACUGACGCUCAUGCACGAAAGCGUGGGGAGCAAACAGGAUUAGAUACCCUGGUAGUCCACGCCCUAAACGAUGUCAACUAGCUGUUGGGGCCUUCGGGCCUUGGUAGCGCAGCUAACGCGUGAAGUUGACCGCCUGGGGAGUACGGUCGCAAGAUUAAAACUCAAAGGAAUUGACGGGGACCCGCACAAGCGGUGGAUGAUGUGGAUUAAUUCGAUGCAACGCGAAAAACCUUACCUACCCUUGACAUGUCUGGAAUGCCGAAGAGAUUUGGUAGUGCUCGCAAGAGAACCGGAACACAGGUGCUGCAUGGCUGUCGUCAGCUCGUGUCGUGAGAUGUUGGGUUAAGUCCCGCAACGAGCGCAACCCUUGUCAUUAGUUGCUACGAAAGGGCACUCUAAUGAGACUGCCGGUGACAAACCGGAGGAAGGUGGGGAUGACGUCAAGUCCUCAUGGCCCUUAUGGGUAGGGCUUCACACGUCAUACAAUGGUCGGGACAGAGGGUCGCCAACCCGCGAGGGGGAGCCAAUCCCAGAAACCCGAUCGUAGUCCGGAUCGCAGUCUGCAACUCGACUGCGUGAAGUCGGAAUCGCUAGUAAUCGCGGAUCAGCAUGUCGCGGGGAAUACGUUCCCGGGUCUUGUACACACCGCCCGUCACCCCAUGGGAGUGGGUUUUACCAGAAGUAGUUAGCCUAACCGGAAGGAGGGCGAUACCACGGUAAGGAUUCAAAUGG